Molecule: long non-coding RNA, 1850 nt
Filed under: Pongo abelii (Sumatran orangutan)
Lineage: Eukaryota; Metazoa; Chordata; Mammalia; Primates; Hominidae
Description: lincRNA
Source: RNAcentral
GUAGCAAUGGGGCAGGAUGGAUAAUCCUCUCACUGGGAGGAUGGUGAAUAACUGGAAACAGUGACCAAUCUGCUGCCGUUCACCAUCUUGGUUGCAAAUAUCACUCCCGUCACUUGCAUGGGCGUGGUGGAUUGGAGAUGGCUGCAGAUUCUUAGUCAUUCUUCUCAGCAAGACCUGGAGUCUUUUCCUCCUCCCCUUGGAUCUGGGCUGACUCCAGGACUGGCUUUCAUCAACAGGAUGCAGCAGAAGCAACGCUGUGUGAUUUCCGAGGCUGAGGCUGCAAAGAUUUGAGGCAUCUGCUCUCACCCAGCUUGAAGUGCUUCCUCUUGGAAGCCAGCCACUGUGAAAAACCCCGCCAUGCUGUGAGGAAGCCCAAGAGAGCUGCAUGGAGAGAAGGGCCUGUGGAAGAGCCCUGAGGUGCCACUCACAUGAAGUGAGCCUUUGUGGACCUUCCAGCCCAGCCACCAGCAAAACGCAACCCAGCGAGUCUCCAGGCCCAGCCUGCUUUUAACAAGACAGUGAAGAGUGGCAGUUAAAGGUCUGGCUGGCAUCAGACAGUGCUGAAUUCAAACACCAGCUGAGCUGAAAACGGCCUGGCUGGGUGACCUUGAGCAAGCAGCCUGCCCUCUCCGAGGCUCAGUUUAUUUUCUGGAAGGGAGAAGACGGUGUCUACUUCCAACGACCGCCAUGAUGUUUCAGGUUCAGCCCGAAGGGUGAGUAGCCAAUAAAGAGUGCCGAGAACGGCCUCUGGCCUGCCGGGUAGAGAAAUGACCUGAUUCCUUCCAGAAGUUUCCAGUGUUCCCAAGCCGAUGAGGCUCCUGGGAGACGCCUCCAGAUCUCUUAACGUUCAGGGAAGCAUGGGCUCUGGUUGCAUUAGGGAGGAUUUAUUUUAUUUUUAAAGGAGUUGAGGCCACUUUGCAAUCAGAGCCUUCGUGGCUGGAGCUGGGCGAGCUGGGGAAGGGGUACUAAUCAAGGCGCUUUAAGGACAUGCAAAUCAGGAGAAAGCUCAAGUGAUUAGGGUGUGAUGGGGCCUGGAGUCCAGCCUAUAUCCCCAUCUGAGAAGAGAGAGCCAGAGUGCCAGGCAAGGUGGCUCAGGCCCAGCUGGGGGCGGCAGCCAAGGGGCUGCCAUGGGGCCGGGAACUGUGGGUUGGGAGCAAUUGGAGGCGGAGGGAAGGUAGCCACUCCAAGGUGGCUGAAGGGUCCCUGAUGGCUGCGCUGUCCAUGUGGUACUCUGGCUGGCUUCCCCACCUCCCCCACAGCUGCAGAGGGGCUGCUCUGGCAGGAUCCCCUGCCUGGCUGGGACAGGCCCCUCUUCCUAAGGAUACAGAAUGGUUAUUUGGGUGAGAGGGGCCCACCGGCGCUGCUGGGGGCGGGAUGGGGAAUGUGUUGUCAGCGAUCUGGGGUAUCUUCAGGGUGACAGCAGUACCCCCCGCGUGGGACCCAGGGCUCCACAUCUAUAGACCUGACCCAAGGAAAGACGCAGGCCUGUGCGCAAGGAUGCCAUCUCGGGGAUUGCAUAUUCAUUAGAAGCUGAAUCAAACAGUGUCCAACAAGGGGAGUUUUUCGAGCUGGUUAUGGGACGUGUUUACCAUGGACUUCCAGGUCCUCCUGAGAAAUGACGACCUAGACGUGGAAAGAUGGUUGCAAUGUAUUGUUCCGCAAAGGAGAAAAAAAAAAGCAGGUUGCAAAACCCUGGGAACUGUCUGUCCACCUUCAAAAAGUCAGUCAUAUAUCUAGAAAAAUCUGGAAGGGUAGCCACAAAAACAUCAUCAGUAGGUACUGUGGAGAGGUUAUUGUUACUUUCCCCUUUUAUGUUAAUUUUUGUGCAAUAAACAUAUGUGUAUUUGUAA